RNAcentral lists this ribosomal RNA (1953 nucleotides) under Vannella epipetala. RNAcentral describes it as "SSU rRNA". It matches the Rfam family "Eukaryotic small subunit ribosomal RNA". The record is from RNAcentral. Lineage: Eukaryota; Discosea; Flabellinia; Vannellidae.
AACCUGGUUGAUCCUGCCAGUAGUGAUAUGCUUGUCUCAAAGGCUAAGCCAUGCAAGUGUUAGUAUAAACUUUUAUACGGUGAAACUGCGAAUGGCUCAUUAAAUCAGUUAUAGUUUAAAUGAUGGUUCACGGGAGCAAUCCCAACUACAUGGAUAACUGUAGUAACAUAGAGCUAAUACAUGCAUAAAGGUCCAACGCAAGAAAGACCCGCACUUAUUAGAUACCAAACCAAUACUGCUCGCAAGGGUGGUAUAAAGGUGAUUCAUAGUAACUGAACAAAUCGCAUGGUCUCGUACCGGCGAUGCAUCAUUCAAAUUUCUGCCCUAUCAACUUGUUGUUAGUGUAUUGUACUAACAAGGUGAUAACGGGUGACGGAGGAUUAGGGUUCGAUUCCGGAGAAGGAGCAUGAGAAACGGCUACUAUUUCUAAGGAAAGCAGCAGGCGCGCAAAUUAUUCAAUGGUAACAAGUUACCGAAAUAGUGACAAAAAAUAACAAUGCCUUGCACUCAGUGUAAGGUAAUUGGAAUGAGUACAAUUUAAAACCCUUAACAAGUAUCAAUUAGAGGGCAAGUCUGGUGCCAGCAGCCGCGGUAAUUCCAGCUCUAAUAGCGUAUAUUAAUAUUGUUGCAGUUAAAACGCUCGUAGUUGAAUCUUAAUACCUCUAGCAGGUUGGUCUACUUGAUUGUAUGACUGCCUGCUUGGUAUUUUCCUACUAGUGACUCGAUCCUGUUCUUAACUGAAUGGGAUAGCUAUCUCUCGGGGUAGUCGCUGCGUUGCAUUAGCUCCCCUUUAGUGCUGUAGAGUGUAAAAACUUGAAAGUAUUAUCGGGGGUCAAGCUAUAGUGAUGUAGUGGAGUUCCAGUUCAUUUACUUUGAGAAAAUUAGAGUGUUCAAAGCAGCCUCUUGGAGCUUUGUAUAUGUUGGCAUGGGAUAAUAAAAUAGGAUCUGGUUGUUCUAUUUAUUGGUUUGAAACGAUUAGAUAAUGAUUAAUAGGGACAGUUGGGGGUAUUUAUAUUAAGUGGCUAGCGGUGAAAUGCUCGGACCCACUUAAGAUAAACUAAAGCGAAAGCAUUUACCAAGGAUGUUUUCAUUAAUCAAGAACGAAAGUUAAGGGAUCGAAGACGAUUAGAUACCGUCGUAGUCUUAACUAUAAACUAUGCCGACCAGGGAUGUGAGUGGUUUCAACUAACUCUUCACGGAGUUAGACUUCCUCUUAUGCACCUUGUGAGAAAUCAUAAGUCAAUGGGUUCUGGGGGAAGUAUGGUCGCAAGUCUGAAACUUAAAGGAAUUGACGGAGGGGCACCACCAGGAGUGGAGCGUGCGGCUUAAUUUGACUCAACACGGGAAAACUUACCAGGUCCGGACAUUUGAAGGAUUGACAGAUUGAUAGCUCUUUCAUGAUUAGAUGGGUGGUGGUGCAUGGCCGUUCUUAGUUGGUGGAGUGAUUUGUCUGGUUAAUUCCGUUAACGAACGAGACCUUUGCCAGCUAACUAGUAAUACUUAUGCUUUGCAUAGGUAGCAUACUUCUUAGAGGGACUAUUGAUUUUCAAAUCAAAGGAAGUAAAGGCGAUAACAGGUCUGUGAUGCCCUUAGAUGUUCUGGGCUGCACGCGCGCUACACUGAUUAGCUCAUCAAGUUUUAGUUUAUACUUUACCUGACGGUAUGGUUAAUCUUCAACGCUAAUCGUGCUUGGGAUAGAUGAUUGCAAUUAUUUAUCUUGAACCAGGAAUUCCUAGUAAUCGCAGGUCAUCAGCCUGCGAUGAUUACGUCCCUGCCCCUUGUACACACCGCCCGUCGCUGCUACCGAUUGAAUGAUCCGGUGAACUCGUCGGAUUGUAUUAGUUUCCCUGUCUUUCGGGAUAGGCGCUAGUGCGAGAAGUUGAGUAAACCUUAUCAUUUAGAGGAAGCAAAAGUCGUAACAAGGUUUCCGUAGGUGAACCUGCAGAAGGAUCA